UUGUGCUAGAUGGGGAGUUAGCGGUGCCCUGUAACCUGCAAUCCGCUAUAGCAGGAUUGAAGUCCUCACCGAGGCCUUAACUUGUAAGGUCUGCCCUAUGAAAGUGGCGUUGAUGGUUGGGUCCCACGCAACAUAAGCCCGUGAACUUCGUCAGGUCCGGAAGGAAGCAGCGAUAAGCGGUUACUUGUGUGUGCCGUGGCAAACCUGGCCUGAGUUAACUACAUAGGUAACGCUUAUAAGUUAUUGUCAGAGUGAGGUGCACAA
This 264-nucleotide signal recognition particle RNA is filed under the name Clostridium fallax. RNAcentral's name for it is "Bacterial large signal recognition particle RNA". It matches the Rfam family "Bacterial large signal recognition particle RNA". From Rfam's summary of the family: The signal recognition particle (SRP) is a universally conserved ribonucleoprotein involved in the co-translational targeting of proteins to membranes. Lineage: Bacteria; Bacillati; Bacillota; Clostridia; Eubacteriales; Clostridiaceae. The record is from Rfam by way of RNAcentral.